CGAGCCGAUGCCCGAUUCCGCGCCCGCCAUGGCCGACAAAAUGGACAUGUCUCUGGACGACAUCAUUAAACUGAACCGGAGCCAGCGAGGCGGCCGGGGCGGGGGCCGGGGCCGCGGCCGGGCCGGCUCCCAGGGCGGCCGCGGCGGUGGGGCGCAGGCCGCCGCGCGAGUGAAUCGAGGCGGCGGGCCCAUCCGGAACCGGCCGGCCAUCGCCCGCGGCGCGGCCGGCGGAGGCGGCAGGAACCGACCGGCGCCCUACAGCAGGCCAAAACAACUUCCCGACAAGUGGCAGCACGAUCUUUUCGACAGUGGCUUCGGCGGUGGUGCCGGCGUGGAGACAGGUGGGAAACUGCUGGUGUCCAAUCUGGAUUUUGGAGUCUCAGACGCCGAUAUUCAGGAACUCUUUGCUGAAUUUGGAACGCUGAAGAAGGCGGCUGUGCACUAUGAUCGCUCUGGUCGCAGCUUAGGAACAGCAGACGUGCACUUUGAGCGGAAGGCAGAUGCCCUGAAGGCCAUGAAGCAGUACAACGGCGUCCCUCUGGAUGCAAGCUACAUCCCUCCCCUCCUUCAGCUCCUUCCGGAAGAUUCACUUCUGUGAAGCCUUCUCAGAACCGCCAUAGUACACCUCUGAGUGCGGGGCUGUAGUCGUAAAGACAAAGGCCGCCCCAUGAACAUUCAGCUUGUCACGUCACAGAUUGACGCACAGCGGAGGCCUGCACAGAGCGUAAACAGAGGUGGCAUGACUAGAAACCGUGGCGCUGGAGGUUUUGGUGGUGGUGGAGGCACCCGGAGAGGCACCCGCGGAGGCGCCCGUGGAAGAGGCAGAGGUGCCGGCAGGAAUUCAAAGCAGCAGCUUUCGGCAGAGGAGCUGGAUGCCCAGCUGGACGCCUAUAAUGCGAGAAUGGACACCAGUUAAACAGACCAGCAAAUCCGCGUGCGGAACAGGACCCAGGCGUCUCCUCUUGCUCCCUGGUUGGGGGGCGGUGGCUGGGGCUGUGCGGCCAAUGAUGGAUUUGUUUCUUUUAUGUUUUAAAAUAGGAUUUAAAAACUCAUGUAAAGGUUUUUUUUUUUUCUUUUUUUUUUUUUUUAAUUCUGAAACAGACCUGUUUUGUACCGAGUUAUUUUUGGGAUAAAUUUUACUGGUUGCUGUUGUGGAGAAGGUGGCGUUUCCACCUUUUCCAUAAUAAAAUAGAAAUGUGUGUAGAACUGGAA
Molecule: RNA transcript, 1212 nt
Organism: Homo sapiens (human)
Lineage: Eukaryota; Metazoa; Chordata; Mammalia; Primates; Hominidae
Gene: ALYREF
Gene name: Aly/REF export factor
Exons: 7
Source: RefSeq, marked reviewed